Xenopus laevis (African clawed frog) is the source of this 1246-nucleotide long non-coding RNA. RefSeq lists it as uncharacterized. The record is from RefSeq and is a predicted model, not a curated record. The transcript has 2 exons. Lineage: Eukaryota; Metazoa; Chordata; Amphibia; Anura; Pipidae.
UAGGAAAUACAACCCCCAACAUUCCCCUUGGGAGCUAAACUGGCAGAAGUAAUUUGCCAAAUCCUAAAGGUCACAGGUUGUCUGUGCUGUUUAUGUUGCUUAAAUGACAUUGAGAUUGUCACUGUUUUGCCAUAAAAUAUUAGAAAACUCACACACCCACAUCUAAAUAGAUUAUUUUCCAUUUAAUAGAAACUGAAAUGAUGACAUUGCCCAGUGAUGACAGUACCCACAUUAGCACACAUGUACAAGCAAAGGUCCUAUUUGAUUAUUGGAGAGACUACCACACCUUUCUGCUAAAUAUAUUAUUUAUGUUCUUUAUUAUACAGAUGCAGAAUCCCUCAGUGUUUUAGAUUUGCCCAGACUAAAAAUGGAUGAGUGUAUGUGAGUGUAAAUCUGAGUGAUUAUAGGACCCUGUUCCUGCUGGUUUUAUCACUGCAAUGCUGUGCAAGAGAUGCUUGGGGGGCUGAGCUGCCGCUCCGCUCUCCUGCUCUCUGGCUGGCAGGUAUAUGGGAUGAAGGAGAAAAGCUGACCGUAGAUUCCUAAUUAUUCUGGAAGGGUCUCAUGCAAUCACAUUGGAGAAUGGGUAGCUUUGUGCAUCUAAUGACCACAACUGAGCAGCCAGUAUGACACAAAUGAUCUUCUGUACAGUACUACAAGAAACUGUGUCAUACACUGCCUCCCUGGAUACAGAUUGGGAGUGCCUUUACCGACUGUAUGGAUGCUCGGGCAUCUAGAGGAGUGUCCUGUAUGCAGAAGAAGAUGUAAGGAAUGACAGAAAGGAAUAAUGAUUUCAGUUUUCUGAAUGGCGUUUUGCAGAAUACAAGCAGAAAGAAUGUUCUGCUAUCUACAGUAACAUAGUGUUGGUGGGAAUGUUCUACACAACAGAAAAAUGUUCUGUAGGAUAUUAUAAUACACUUCAAAAAAGAAUAACACCCUUUAGGAAAGAAUACCUAAAGGGGCAAUACCCUGACUGGGCAAUACUGUCUCUGAUAUAAGAGUGAUGCUUUGUGGGCCAGACAAACCCCUUGCUGCAGACCAUCGCAGAAGGCAUAGCUGUUUGUGACAAACAUUUGUCCGAAAUGUGACCUUUUUCUGGUACAAUAUCCCCUUUCUCUCCCCUUCAUCCCUUUGACCUCUAGUCCAUCCAUAUAUUCUGUCUAUUUUGAAGCAACCCUUGUCCUACUAUAUUAUCAUUUUUCUUGUCUCUCCCCUUUCCCUCUUUUGGUAAAUUUGCUCCUUUACAUUG